Long non-coding RNA from Pongo pygmaeus (Bornean orangutan), 1463 nucleotides. RefSeq lists it as uncharacterized. The transcript is spliced from 3 exons. NCBI's taxonomy places the organism in Eukaryota, Metazoa, Chordata, Mammalia, Primates, Hominidae. The record is from RefSeq and is a predicted model, not a curated record.
CCGCCUCCGCAGGCAAAUACCCGGUGGAAUCCCGCCUGGCUCCGAAGCUCCGCCCCCUGGCGGGAGGGCCGCGCGGGUUUCACCGCGGCGUCGCGGAAGGGGCGCGACCACCGUAGGUCCUGUUCCUGCGCUUCCCAAACUGGGCAGAAACGGCGAGAGGCUGGGGGUCAGAAACGCCAGGUUCCCGGCGGGCUGUACCGGGGCUUCGCUGUGUGACCUUGGGCUGGCGUCUCUGGGCCCUUGUUUCCGCGAGUUAAACGUAGGGGCGGGGGAGUUUCUCUGGCCCUGCCGCCUGUGACCUAAGGAGCCCCGUGACCUCUCCGACCCGAGCCCACCCCCGGCCCAGUCUGCGAGCAGCUCCAAGACAAGCACUCCCGGCGAAGACAUGUAGGCUCUCAGAGCCUGCGUUUCCCUCUGUAGAGCGGGCCUAGUUACUGUCUUCAGGGUGCACGCGUCUCCGUUCCCGACCCGCACCCUCACCGCCAGGAGAUGAUUUCUUAACCAGAAGAUACAGCAGGUUCAAAGUCCUGGAGGCCAGAAGGAGCUUGUAUUCAAGAAACAGAAAACGAAGUAGGAGCCAACCCUGCUCCCCACUCCAGCUUUCUCACCCUUCACCUCUGGCCCCAGGACAAGAUGAGCAGGAGGAGGGGGAGCUGCCCAACACUCACUGAGGAGUCAGCCUCUGGACCUUGGAGCCAGCAACACCCCCCUGCACUCACACCCCCACCUCAUCCUGCUGCCUUCUCCUGAGGAGGGGAAACAGGCCCAGAGAGGGAGGGCAUGAGCUCUAAUUUGAGUCCUCUGGGAUGACAGCAGUACCUCAUCACAUGCACACACAGAACCAACACACAUUUUUCUGGACCACAGGAUAUUUUAAAAGGUUUUCUUUUUUAAUACAGAAAAGCAGGAAGACGAAAAUGGCCUGUAAUGCUGCCACACAGAUAAUCUCAGUGGUAUUUUUAAAAUAAAGUUAAUGAAUGCCCACGUUUGCAAAAUUCAAACCAUACCAAAGGAUUAUAAAAUGAAAACUAAAACUUUUUCCAUCACAGUCACUCUCCCCAGAAACGAUGCCUCUUUGUUUCCUUCCUGAAGACAUUGGCAUGCCAGCAUUUUUUACCUAUAAAAAGAAAAUCACUCUGCCCACUGUUUUGGACCUUGCCAUUUUUUUCACCUAAAACACAUCUCGGCAGAUCUUUUCACAUCCACGCUGCUAAUCCGCCUCCUUUCUAACGGCUGUGCUGUACUCUGUUGUAUGCUUGUGUUUUCUGUGGGUGUGUAUUUACCGUAUUUCCAGUUUCUUUGCUCUUACAAUGUGCCAGCAGAUCCCCGAGGUACCUGAAUAUACUGCAAAUAUUUCCACAGGGCUAGGCACGAGCAGAGGCGCCGGGUCAAAAGGGUCUGUGCAUUUUUAAUUCUUGGAGGGGCUCUUGGCUCACGUCUGUAACCCCAGCACUUUAGGAGGC